ANGGUGGUAGGCUGAAAUCUUAGGUAAAUCCGGGGUUUCAAGGCCGAGAGCUGAUGACGAGUCGUCUCUUUAGAUGACGAAGUGGUUGAUGCCAUGCUUCAAGAAAAGCUUCUAAGCUUCAGGUAACCAGGAACCGUACCCCAAACCGACACAGGUGGUCGGGUAGAGAAUACCAAGGCGCUUGAGAGAACUCGGGUGAAGAACUAGGCAAAAUGGCACCGUAACUUCGGGAGAAGGUGCGCCGGCUAGGGUGAAGGAUUUACUCCGUAAGCUCUGGCUGGUCGAAGAUACCAGGCCGCUGCGACUGUUUAUUAAAACACAGCGCUCUGCAAACACGAAAGUGGACGUAUAGGUGUGACGCCUGCCCGGUGCCGGACGGUUAAUUGAUGGGGUUAGCGCAAGCGAAGCUCUUGAUCGAAGCCCGGUUAACGGGGGGCGUAACAAUAACGGUCCUAGGUAGCGAAAUUCCUUGUCGGGCAAGUUCCGACCUGCACGAAUGGCGUAACGAUGGCGGCGCUGUCUCCACCCGAGACUCAGUGAAAUUGAAAUCGCUGUGAAGAUGCAGUGUAUCCGCGGCUAGACGGAAAGACCCCGUGAACCUUUACUGUAGUUUUGCACUGGACUUUGAGCCUGCUUGUGUAGGAUAGGUGGGAGGCUUUGAAGCGUGGACGCCAGUUCGCGUGGAGCCAUCCUUGAAAUACCACCCUGGCAUGCUGAGGUUCUAACUCUGGUCCGUAAUCCGGAUCGAGGACAGUGUAUGGUGGGCAGUUUGACUGGGGCGGUCUCCUCCUAAAGGGUAACGGAGAGUACGAAGGUGCGCUCAGACCGGUCGGAAAUCGGUCGCAGAGUAUAAAAGGCAAAAGCGCGCUUGACUGCGAGACAGACACGUCGAGCAGGUACGAAAAGUAGGUCUUAGUGAUCCGGUGGUUCUGUAUGGAAGGGCCAUCGCUCAACGGAUAAAAGGUACUCCGGGGAUAACAGGCUGAUACCGCCCAAGAGUUCAUAUCGACGGCGGUGUUUGGCACCUCGAUGUCGGCUCAUCACAUCCCUGGGGCUGAAGCCGGUCCCAAGGGUAUGGCUGUUCGCCAUUUAAAGUGGUACGCGAGCUGGGUUUAGAACGUCGUGAGACAGUUCGGUCCCUAUCUGCCGUGGACGUUUGAGAUUUGAGAGGGCUGCUCCUAGUACGAGAGGACCGGAGUGGACGAACCUCUGGUGUUCCGGUUGUCACGCCAGUGGCAUUGCCGGUAGCUAUGUUCGGAAAAGAUAACCGCUGAAAGCAUCUAAGCGGGAAACUUGCCUCAGGAUGAGAUCUCACUGGGAACUUGAUUCCCUGAAGGCCGUCGAAGACUACGACGUUGAUAGGCUGGGUGUGUAAGCGUUGUGAGGCGUUGAGCUAACCAGUACUAAUUGCCCGUGAGGC
RNAcentral lists this ribosomal RNA (1420 nucleotides) under metagenome. RNAcentral describes it as "bacterial LSU rRNA". It matches the Rfam family "Bacterial large subunit ribosomal RNA", at positions 1514 to 2917 of the family's 2925-position model. The record is from RNAcentral.